This 400-nucleotide long non-coding RNA is filed under the name Drosophila guanche. Lineage: Eukaryota; Metazoa; Arthropoda; Insecta; Diptera; Drosophilidae. The record is from RNAcentral.
GUUUUUUUCAAAUAUUACAUUGUACAUUUUUUCUACAUCUGUAAUCUACAUCUACAUCAUUUCUCACACCAAAACGCUCUUUUAACUCGCCCCCCACCCCUACACAGUGAAGCAGAGUGUUGAUCAGGGAGAAAUGCUUCCCCUUAAUAUCUUAGUCUCUUAGAAAACCAAAAACAUCUCUACUGCAUGUCUACAUGUCUACUUUUUUAAUUGAUCGCUCGUUUACCCUAUUGAUAUAUCUUUGUAUCUAUGCGCGAUACAACACCUGGUUGGAAAUAAUCGUGGUACAUGUUACCAAUACCAUCGUUCACUCUUUAUUCUUGACUAUGUGCUCCUUACUUCUUGCAAAAAUAGUCCUGUUCAUGACAUUAUUGACCACAUUUGUUCUGGCUUGGAUUAC